CAGUCGCCACGGUAAUACGAAGGGUGCAAGCGUUAAUCGGAAUUACUGGGCGUAAAGCGUGCGUAGGCGGUGAGUUUAGUCUGCUGUGAAAUCCCCGGGCUCAACCUGGGAAUGGCAGUGGAUACUGGCUCGCUAGAGUGUGUCAGAGGAUGGUGGAAUUCCCGGUGUAGCGGUGAAAUGCGUAGAGAUCGGGAGGAACAUCAGUGGCGAAGGCGGCCAUCUGGGACAACACUGACGCUGAGGCACGAAAGCGUGGGGAGCAAACAGGAUUAGAUACCCCUGUAGUCCCUGUCUCUUAUAC
RNAcentral lists this ribosomal RNA (301 nucleotides) under uncultured bacterium. RNAcentral describes it as "partial 16S ribosomal RNA". It matches the Rfam family "Bacterial small subunit ribosomal RNA", at positions 509 to 807 of the family's 1533-position model. The record is from RNAcentral.